GGAGAGUUACCCAAGAGGCUGAAGGGGCGGGUUUGCUAAACCUGUAGGGCGGAAUUUUCUGUCGCGAGGGUUCGAAUCCCUCACUCUCCGCCA
Molecule: transfer RNA, 93 nt
Filed under: Clostridiales bacterium
Lineage: Bacteria; Bacillati; Bacillota; Clostridia; Eubacteriales
Description: tRNA-Ser
Rfam family: tRNA
About the family: Transfer RNA (tRNA) molecules are approximately 80 nucleotides in length.
Source: RNAcentral